Molecule: small nuclear RNA, 125 nt
Filed under: Macaca fascicularis (crab-eating macaque)
Lineage: Eukaryota; Metazoa; Chordata; Mammalia; Primates; Cercopithecidae
Description: U1 spliceosomal RNA (ENSMFAG00000024973.2)
Rfam family: U1 spliceosomal RNA
About the family: U1 is a small nuclear RNA (snRNA) component of the spliceosome (involved in pre-mRNA splicing).
Source: Rfam by way of RNAcentral
AUAUUUACCUGGUAGGGGAAAUACCAUAAUCACGAAGGUGGUUUUCCCAGGGCGAGACUUAUCCAUUGCACUACGGAUGUGCUGAUUCUGCGAUUUCCCCGAUUAUGGGAAACUCGACUGCGUUC